CACGUAGGGUGCGAGCGUUGUCCGGAUUUAUUGGGCGUAAGGGCCCGUAGGCGGUUUGGUAAGUCGGGCGUCAAAACUCCAGGCUCAACCUGGAGCGGCCAUCCGAUACUGCCAUGACUUGAGUCUGGUAGGGGAGUGCGGAAUUCCUGGUGUAGCGGUGAGAUGCGCAGAUAUCAGGAGGAACACCGGUGGCGAAGGCGGCACUCUGGGCCAGUACUGACGCUGAUGGGCGAAAGCGUGGGGAGCAAACAGG
RNAcentral lists this ribosomal RNA (253 nucleotides) under uncultured bacterium. RNAcentral's name for it is "partial 16S ribosomal RNA". It matches the Rfam family "Bacterial small subunit ribosomal RNA", at positions 524 to 776 of the family's 1533-position model. The record is from RNAcentral.